Molecule: ribosomal RNA, 322 nt
Filed under: Escherichia coli LAU-EC9
Lineage: Bacteria; Pseudomonadati; Pseudomonadota; Gammaproteobacteria; Enterobacterales; Enterobacteriaceae
Description: bacterial LSU rRNA
Rfam family: Bacterial large subunit ribosomal RNA
Source: RNAcentral
GUGAGACAGUUCGGUCCCUAUCUGCCGUGGGCGCUGGAGAACUGAGGGGGGCUGCUCCUAGUACGAGAGGACCGGAGUGGACGCAUCACUGGUGUUCGGGUUGUCAUGCCAAUGGCACUGCCCGGUAGCUAAAUGCGGAAGAGAUAAGUGCUGAAAGCAUCUAAGCACGAAACUUGCCCCGAGAUGAGUUCUCCCUGACUCUUUAAGGGUCCUGAAGGAACGUUGAAGACGACGACGUUGAUAGGCCGGGUGUGUAAGCGCAGCGAUGCGUUGAGCUAACCGGUACUAAUGAACCGUGAGGCUUAACCUUACAACGCCGAAG